GACAGCAAGCUGGCUGUGACAUGUCAACCCCACUGAUUGCCAGAACUGAUUUGCUGGAUCUGCCCUGUUAAGAUGGUGUCCCAUUUCUUCCUGGCUCUGCCACAUGUGUUUUUCCAAAAUCUGGACACUUUACUGGAGAGGAUGAUUUCUCUAGAUGGAGAAAGACCAUGGUCUACAGAGAAUCAAGUUCUUCUGCUGGAAUACUCAAGGCAUGUUGAGUAGGUUCCCCUGC
RNAcentral lists this long non-coding RNA (232 nucleotides) under Homo sapiens (human). RNAcentral describes it as "non-protein coding lnc-GBP5-12:1". It matches the Rfam family "7SK RNA", at positions 1 to 250 of the family's 331-position model. From Rfam's summary of the family: 7SK was discovered as an abundant small nuclear RNA in the mid-70s but a possible function has only recently been suggested. Two independent studies have found that 7SK RNA binds the CDK9/cyclin T complex (known as elongation factor P-TEFb). P-TEFb activates transcription by phosphorylating the C-terminal domain of RNA polymerase II. Lineage: Eukaryota; Metazoa; Chordata; Mammalia; Primates; Hominidae. The record is from RNAcentral.